GGGUGGGGGAGCAGAGAGAGAGGGAGACACAGAAUCUGAAACAGGCUCCAGGCUCUGAGCUGUCAGCCCAGAGCCCAACAUGGGGUUCGAACCCACGGACCGCGAGAUCAUGACCUGAGCUGAAGUCGAACGCUCAACCGACUGAGCCACCCAGGCACCCCAUGACACCACUGGAGUAUUUUAGUGAGCCUGCUGGACUGAAGACAUCUCCCCUGGCGAAAAAAUUAGACAGAGGUGGCCCUACACUUACGCUCCAAGGUGUUAUAACGUCAUCCAGUAAGUUAGUACCUGAAACGGAUAGAAUGUUCUAAGUAUCUUCUUCCUGUUCUUCCCAUGCUCCCGUUUUGAAGUGUCUUUAUCAAAACAUCCUGAACUUUUCAGAUCGAUGUUUCUUUGAGAAAUUCCUAGAAUCCUGGUCUCACGCAGAAAGACCGCCCUAUGUCACAUCUCCCUGCCUGCUUCCCUUUCAGAAAGAGUCUCCUUCUGUCCACCAAGUCAGAAACAUCAGUACGGUGUCAGCAUAACUUAUGUGGCCAACACGUGAACUCGUGCCAGAGUCCAGGCCCCAAGAAGCCCUCGUCGGUGGGGACCGUUGAGCACAAAGGGUCUUUGCUGGCAUGCAUCCUGGUCUACCCUGCGGACUCUGAGCCUUGGUGAAAGAAGAGCAAAGAUUCAUAGAUUCACAGAUGAGAGAGAGAGAAAGAAAGCAAGCUACAGAGAAGCAGAGAAUGAAAGACUUGUAAAUCAUCCAUCCCUCAUCUUAAAGCCUAAGAAAGCCUCAGGUUUGGGGUUGGGUGUCUCCAAAGACCAAGCUACAAACCAGGCUAACUCUCCCAGUGUCAGGGAACAACUGAGGCAGGGAAGCAGAAAUUAUAGUUAGCAGUGAGGCUGUCAGGCCAAUGCUCACCUCUGAACACCGGUGUGCUCUAGCCCUGACUUUCACUGUGUUCCUACCUUGGGCUAUUCUAGGUCUUUCCCAUCUACUUUUGGG
This 991-nucleotide long non-coding RNA is filed under the name Felis catus (domestic cat). Its description in RNAcentral is "lncRNA (ENSFCAG00000041491.2)". Lineage: Eukaryota; Metazoa; Chordata; Mammalia; Carnivora; Felidae. The record is from RNAcentral.